GGGGUUGCGGACAGUGUCUGGUGGGUAGUUUGACUGGGGCGGUCUCCUCCCAAAGAGUAACGGAGGAGCACGAAGGUUAGCUAAUCCUGGUCGGACAUCAGGAGGUUAGUGCAAAGGCAUAAGCUAGCUUGACUGCGAGAGUGACGGCUCGAGCAGGUGCGAAAGCAGGUCUUAGUGAUCCGGUGGUUCUGAAUGGAAGGGCCAUCGCUCAACGGAUAAAAGGUACUCCGGGGAUAACAGGCUGAUACCGCCCAAGAGUUCAUAUCGACGGCGGUGUUUGGCACCUCGAUGUCGGCUCAUCACAUCCUGGGGCUGAAGUAGGUCCCAAGGGUACGGCUGUUCGCCGUUUAAAGUGGUACGCGAGCUGGGUUUAGAACGUCGUGAGACAGUUCGGUCCCUAUCUGCCGUGGGCGUUGGAAGAUUGAGGGGGGUUGCUCCUAGUACGAGAGGACCGGAGUGAACGCACCACUGGUGUUCGGGUUGUGAUGCCAAUUGCAUUGCCCGGUAGCUAAGUGCGGAAGAGAUAACCGCUGAAAGCAUCUAAGCGGGAAACUUGCCCCGAGAUGAGUCUUCCCUGGGACUUCGAGUCCCCUGAAGGGCCGUUGAAGACGACGACGUAGAUAGGCUGGGUGUGUAAGCGUAGCGAUACGUUGAGCUAACCAGUACUAAUGACCCGAGAGGCUUAACCUUACAACACCGAAGGUGUUUUAG
This 711-nucleotide ribosomal RNA is filed under the name Lonsdalea populi. Its description in RNAcentral is "bacterial LSU rRNA". It matches the Rfam family "Bacterial large subunit ribosomal RNA", at positions 2241 to 2925 of the family's 2925-position model. The record is from RNAcentral. Lineage: Bacteria; Pseudomonadati; Pseudomonadota; Gammaproteobacteria; Enterobacterales; Pectobacteriaceae.